RNAcentral lists this long non-coding RNA (409 nucleotides) under Bos taurus (domestic cattle). Its description in RNAcentral is "long non-coding RNA NONBTAT026014". The record is from RNAcentral. Lineage: Eukaryota; Metazoa; Chordata; Mammalia; Artiodactyla; Bovidae.
GCAGGAAUGUAUAUGAAAUGUCAGAUUUUAUUGUAUUUGCAGAGUAUUAGCUUUGAAAUUGAAUAAAGAAAGCUGUUUGUAGUUUUAAAAUGCCUUAUUGGUAUCAAUUAGAAAUUUCUUCUAUUUUUUGAUGUACUUAGAGCUUUUUGAGUAUAGAGUUUUAAAUGGCAGGAUUUUACAGUGUUUACAUGCACAUGCAUUUUAUAAGUGUUCUAUAUGUGUGAAAUAGUAUUUCCAGCUGGAAAGUGUUGGCCGGCGCAGAAGGCCUGGCCCUUUUCUGGUUCCCAUGAUGUUGCCCACACUGCUAGACUACAGUUUAGUGUUGCUUUGUAUCAUGAGGCCAAGAAGUUCCAUGUUGUUUGUAAAUAGAAUAAUUGAAAAAGCAAUAAACAUUUAUUGAACAAAAGAA